GCAACGAUUUCGGUGGGGGAUGCAAACUCGCGCAGGUCCCGCCUCCCGCCCCGAUUACGCUCUCGGAACAAAAACAAAAGGAAAACAGUAGCAGCACAGAGCGUGCCUCGAAACCUUUUAUUCAUGUCACGGUCUUAUUCUUGUAUGUAUACAUAAAGUGCAUGCAGUGUGCGUACACACACUCAUGUGACCGUGCACACCGUACACAUAGCUAGCUAGCUGUCAGGACGCAGGAAGCAGCUGGCAGCGCUGCGUUCCUGACGAUGACCGUGAAGUUCACCUCGAUCGUCCGAUCCGCGUUCAGGCGUAGUACUCGCCGGUGCACGAGUCGUAGCGCUUGCUCUCGCACGCGUCGUAGUGGCGCCCGCCGUGGCCGUAGCCGCCGUGCCCGUGCCCGUGCAGGUGGUGCUGCUCGCGGUGCUCGCCGAGGUGGCCGUGGCAGGACCCCUCGUGCCCGGCGUAGCCACCGACGUGGUGGUGGUGGUGGCUGCCGCUGCGGCCGAGGUGGCCGCCGCCGUACUGACCGUGGCCGUGGCCGUAGUGGCCCCUGCCGGCGCGCGCCACCUCGUCGAUCUCCUCGUACUCCUUGCGGACGGCGUAGCGCUCGCCGCCCUCGCCGUAGCGGUACCCGGGCUCGGCGUACGGCCUCCUCACGUCCUCCGCGCAGUAGCCGGACUCCGAGUAGUACGCCAUGGCGGCGGUGAUGCCCUGGUGUCAGCUAGCUGAUCAGUUCGUUGCAGUGAACGGACUUGUGUGCGCGGUGAUCUGCAAUGCUGAGACCUGAUCGAUCGAUGCAGGAUAUAUACAUGGACUGGCUCUGCUUUUAUAGGGUGCAAGCAAAGCAACUCAUCCUCAUGCAUGAUUCAGAUGGAAGAAAUGCUCUGGUAAGGACGUGAGGAUGGAUGCAUGAGUGGAGCAGGGAACUUGUUCUGAAAGAUACGUGCGCGCUCACUGCUUUCUGCCGAGCCGUGCCACCUGCACGUUGGGAUCGAAGGUGGAAGAAAACUCGAGACGCGUUUUUACACAGACCGAUCGAUGCCCGGGAAUUUCUUUGAUUGAGAUAAAAAGCUUGAAGCAAGCUACGGGUUGAAGGUUGAAGCAAAGUAGAGUGUAAAUGGAAUAACAAAAGAGCGGCAGAUAUCAAGAUAUGUCCAAUAACAGUUUUGUUCAUGACAAGUAGAAACGAAAAGGAAGGGGACAUGAACUGAAUGAUGGAUCUGGCGUCAGCUGGUAAACUACUGAAAUACAUAGUUUUGGUGUGCAAGAUUUUUUUUUUUGGCAUGAAGCAUCUCACUGUUACUUUAAUCAAUAUAUUUCAGGUUCAAGUGAUUUUGCUGCAGCUUUUGUCCAUUGGUCAUUUAAUUCUUUUCUUUGUACUGCAAGGCUGUUUAUUUGGAUUUUGGUUAUCCUGAAUUCCUGAUCCACCAUCCAUCUACUAACCUAUAAUCUGUUUGUUUUUUUUUUAAAAAAGAUAACCUUAUCUAUCGUAUAACGCUCACAAUGAUAUGCACCCCACCAGUGUAUUCAAGAAGAAGAAAGAGAGUCCAAGAGAGACAUUUGCCCAUUUCCACCAUCAUAUAAUAAGUGAAAACGCACAUCAUCUAAACGACUCAAGUUACACAAUCAAACAAAAGAAUACUGGCCUCAACACGCGAGUGAAGGUUUUACUGAUUUAACACCAUUUAUGUUCAGUUAGGCGACCACUGUCACUUUUUUAUGCAUCUGCAGAAAAACAUGUUCUUCUUUUCCCCUUUUGAGGAACAGCAAUAAACAUGUUAAUACGAGUUACACUAGAUAUCCAGAUCGACGUGUCAUUUGAGUUUUGUGUAUCCAUGAUCCAUGCUUCAAGCUCUAGUUACUAUACACUAUGGUCCUCUAAUAUUCAGAUCAUGAGCUAUAGUGCAAAACCAUUUUGCUGCGUAGAGUUAGAUCUUCCCAUUCAACCAAAGCAGGCAUUUUUGCAGGUUUCUGUAUGUCACCUGCUCCAGAAUUUAGGUUGAAGCAGAGCAACAUUGGCCCUCGAUUCGGUUUAUUUUUUAUUGACAAUCCAUGAAUUGUGGUGUUAUCACCACCAUGGUGCUCCUUUGGCGCGGCGAUACUGAACUGGAACUGGAAGCAUUUCCGUGCAAGGAUGCGCAACCGUACAGUUGCAUGCCUGGUGAAUGCGCCACGUGUACGGUACACGUUACAAUCUUUGAGUACAACAAUCUACCUGGAUGUGGUCCGAUUCACAUCACAAGCUUUUAUUCAUUUAGAUCACAAGCUUAUUAUUUUCGUAGUUCGUACACAGGCUGCGUGCAUGCACACACACCACCGUCAAAGUACGUACACACAUACAUACCCGGCCGGCCGGAUACGGUAUACGCAAACUUAUACUAGCAUCGUACAUAUGGGGGAGCACACACGCGCAUACGUGACACGUGGCUCAGAUCCAGCAGAUACGUGUUCGUUGAUGGAGCUCGCGUGAAGCCGGUUAGUCGUCGGCCCUGACGGCGAAGUUCUCCUUGCGCUCGUGGAACUCGCCGGUGCGGGUGUUGAUGUCCUCCUCGAACUUGCUCUCGCGCGCCUCGAAGUGGCCGUGGUGGCGGCCGGUGCGCGAGACCUUGUCGACCUCCUCGAACUUCUCCUUGACGACGUGCUGCUGGACGCCGCCGUGGCGGCCGAAGCCGGCCGGGCUCGCCACCGACCUCACCUCCUCCGAGCUGUAGUCCACCUCCUGGUAGUGAGCCAUUGGCGAUGCUUGGGGUUUGGGUGUUGGGUGUAGUGCCUGUGACUUGAAAGUGCUUGUGAAUUGUAUGGGAUGACUUGUGUGCUGGAUGCUAGGGUUGGGGCCGGGGUGCGCUUUUAUAACGCCUGGAAUGAAGCGCAUGAGUGGAGGGAGGAAUAAUCGGUGCGAAAGAAACCUGUGUGCAGCUGCUUUAUUGAUUAUUGUGUGUUUUUUCUUCGCUUUUUACCGUUCAUCUAGAGGAAGUGUUUGGACUGUACUGGCCAAGUUGAUGUUAGGAUGUCUAGGGCAUUUUUAAGUGCAAUUUACAUGUUCAUAUAAAGUUCAAUUGUAUUCUAAUUAACAUCAUAUAUGCAGUUCCAUUGUGUUGGGAUAUUUGUGUGUACUGUGUUUUCAAAAAAGAACAAAUAUUUGUAAGGAGUCAUCGAAGAGCUAUAGUCACCCUGCGGGCUGGGGCUAGUGUGCAAAAGGAAAAACAAGACAUGUAUUAUGAAAAAUAAGAAGAAGAAAAGACAGACAUAGGUACGCAGUGCAUAUAAUCAUUAAAAUCAGCUGCUUGUUAUAAAACGUGAGUUCAAUUCCAUUAAAAAGGGAAAAACGGAUAUGCAAUUAGCAAGCAAAAAAGUUCGGCUCAUCUCAAAUCCUCUUCUUCUUAUUAAGUCACCUUGGACAGAAGAAGUCACCGGCCGCGUUAGGUAAGAAUAUACUUAUCAGUUGUCAAGUCGGAAUAUAUACUUGCGUCUCGGCCUGCACCUCGUUUCACUUCACCAUGGAUGGAGACCGCAAGACGCCAUAGCCGCACCGGACAGCGCGUUGCUUGUAUGUGAAAAAGAAUCACAAUUCCUUCAUCCAUGUCCAUAACAAGGAGGGAAAGGGGAGGUGCGUAUAAGGUGUAUGGAUAUGUUUACUACAGUUUGUAAAAUGUGUUUGGAAAACUAAGUGAUUAUAUUGUUUACACUUGUUACUCUAUCAAAAUUCCUUGGUUUAUAUAAGCGGUAAUAUUCACCAGAAACGUUAAACUAAAAUUUUUCAAUCUUACUAUUGCUAAUUGAAGAUUCCUUUUUGAAAACUUCACGUUAAUCCUCACGUGAAGCGUUAGAAAAAAAAUAAAUUUUAGAAAUUUUUAUAAAAUUCAGAAAUAUCGGACCAUCAAUUAGGUAGACCCUAAUCAUCUUAGCCAUUAGAUCUAUUAUGCUUUCUAAGAAAUUACCCACCUCUACCAUUAUAAAAUAGUCUAAGGUAUAUAUGUAUUGUGAGCAACUCCAACAAUAGCUCUCAAAUCAAAACUCCCAAAGGUGAAAUGGGGUUCUCUCUAUUUUUUUACAGACCCAGCAAUAGCCCCGUGAAUAGAGAGCUCCCUAGAGGCACCCUAGGAAUGGAAGGUGGAGGGGAGAAUUUGGAGACCUCAUCAAAAUAGAAAGCUUACUAGAGGGUUCUGCUGAAGUGCAAUUUUUUUACUUGACCCUCUAAACUUGGGUUAGGGGGUAUUUAGAGCUACGUGGAGUUGCUCUUAGAAUAUUUACGAAUGAGGGACAACGCAAAGUUAUUAGCUACAGAUCCUAAUGUUUUUUUUAAAAAAACUAAUACUUAAGUCUUUCAAACUAUUAGCACCAGCGGGAGUACAAGUUGAUGUUUCAUAUAAUUUUAAUAAAAAUUGUAUGGCGGACCAAGCGUGUACUAGACUACUAGUAAAUGUGUGUUGACAUGAAAGCACAAGCAAAGAUCAAUCAACUGGCCAACGGCAAGAUCAGACUGUAAUCACCUGCUACUAGCAUGGGCGGAGGCCAGUGCGCAUGCACAUCUCAUCGAUAGGCCUGGAUAAUUAAGGUGGUGUUUGGUUGAGCGGUGGUUUUUGAAAAAUCUGCUGUGAGUUGUGGGUUGUAAAAAAGCAGCUGUGCGAAAGUAGCUGUGGAAAAAAUAGAAGGCCGUUUGGUUAGAGCAACUGUGAAACUGUAGGUCGUGAGGGUUUGCUUAUAUACAAAUUACUCAUAAUAAAAUAAUGUGUUCACUAAUUCGCAUGUAAAUGACUAUUUUAGAAAUGAAAAAAUAAAUUUUCUAUGUUUUCCUCAAUCAAAGUGCAGAACAAUAUCCAUCAAAAAUCUUAUACAACAAUUAUCCAGGUAUUGAUUGGGCUAUCGGCCAAUUCAACAAAGCAAUUGGUCCACAAUAGCUACUACUUGUACUCUCUCCUAGCAGCUAAAACAUCAGCAUCCUUCGGAACAAAUUCUGUUGCCACGUCGAUCCAAAUUCCCCAUCCUUUUCAGGGGUUCACUUCUUGACAAGAUCAGAUGCUUGAGUCGGUUGAAAUGUACCUAGUUAAUCCAAUACGACGCAUCAUAUUUCACUCAUGCGCCAUGCUCUUGCCGACGAUGCCUUUACCCUGCAAAUGCUCCAUCUUCAUCAUUUCCCCGGUGGACACCACUGUGGGCAAUGCAUCGCAGGAGGAUCCUUUAUGCCUCUCCCCGUAUCGGCACUAGUGUCAACCCCGAACCACCUCGCCACCCCGAGCAACACCAGGGCCGCAACGGCAUCCACGAUGUGCACAGACAGGGAUAGGUCCAUGACGGAGACGGCCCUUAGCCUUGCCUCCUCCACCUUGCAUCGCGUGGCGGGUGUCGUGGUGCCACCGGUGUCCAGGAGGCGGUGGCACCCCGCGGGCACGCAUGCGUCGACGUAGAGGCUGAGCCCAGUCUGCGCCGCCUAGAGCCCACCCACGGCGCCCACGCAAGCGAGCCCCGCCUCGACGACGAAGUGGGCUGCCGCCGCCACCGUGCCCCUCGACGCGGAAGCGGAGAGUGAUGAGGUGAGGGAUGUCGCGGCGGCGACGAGGAGGAGGAGGUGCGUGACGGGGUGCGGGGGGCGGCAGGCAGCGACCGGCGGUUGGGUGGGGGCGCCUAGUGUGGGAGUUGGACGGGUGCGCCUAGUGCAAAGUCUGACAGAAAUAGAACGGUGAAAACAAACCGAUAUCUCAUAAUCAGUGGUAGGUGGGUAAUUUUUUACCCCAAAAGCAGCUGAAAGUAGGGGGUAUGGUGCUUUUGGUUUUGCAUCUUUUGGCCUAAAGCAUUUGUAGCUUUUAGGCUCUUUGGUUAGUUUUUAGCUUUUGCAAAAGUAAAAACCUGUUGGAAAGCUUAACCAAAGACACCUCGAAGACGGCCACACACGAGCCAUGGAAAAACUGAAUGCGGCAGGAACGAAGCUGAGCCGGCGUCCGUCCGCGGGCAGGAUGCCGAUGAUGUCGAGCUCACGGCCGUACGGCCUGUGCAGCAGAGGAGCUCGGUCGGCGUUGCUGUGGGAGCCCAGUAGCUCACAGUGGAGGUCGUCAUCGACGGCGCCGGCGAGCCACGCCGGCCUGUGCAGCAGCACGGUUUACGGGUCCUAGAACGCGCGAUUAGCUGGUUUGAGCUCGCCGUCGAGUCAAUGGCGGCGUGGUUAUGGUCCACGAUCCAGGCCGGGUGGCCAGCGGCGAGAGGCGCCUGACCCCGGAAGAUGUGACGAACCCUUACCGGCGCCUUGAUUGCCUAAUCCGCAAUGUUAGGAGUUGCAAAGUUGGUCAGCUAAGAAGAUUGGCUCCAUUCGGCUGCACUUCUCGUCGCCAAGGAGGUUAUCCUGCAGCUGGACCGGGCACAAGAGCUGUGUUUGCUAUCAGAAGAGGAACGCGAGCUGCGGAGACAGCUAAAGGUACAACUCUGGGCCUCGCUUCACUGGAACGAACAAUCGCCAGAUAGCGGUCGCGCGUCCUCUACCUGAGCGAAGGGGACGCGAACACGAAGUUCUUCCACCUGCAUGCAAAUGGUCGGCGACGAAAGAACCACAUCACUAAACUACAGACAGGGAAUGGCAUGGUGUACACAGCAGAGGAGAUGGCUGACAAGCUCCACACCUACUUCGAUGGAGUUCUUGGACAGGAUCACAGGAGAGGGAUAGGCAGACCACGCUGAACCUGGAGGCAUUGGGGAUCUUCCCGAGAGAACUCCCUGGCCUGGAGGAGCCAUUUACUGAGGAUGAAGUGUGGCAAACAAUCCGGGCCAUGCCGCCGGACAAGUCGCCGGGGCCAGACGGUAUGACGGCGGCGUUCUAUCAAUCAACCUUGUCUAUUAUCAAAGAUGAUUGUGCUGAGAGCGGUGAAUGCUUUCUUUGUGGUGGAUCGACGAGGUUUCCGGUGCAUCAACGGGGCGCUCCUCACGCUGAUUCCUAAAAAAUCAGAUGCUCAAGCACCGAAGGACUAUCGCCCUGUAAGCCUAAUUUACAGUUUCCCAAAACUGCUCGCCAAGCUGCUUGCUAAUCGCCUCAGCCCUACAUGAACGAGCUUGUUCUCUGCAAUCAGAGCGCCUUCAUCAAGGGGCGGUCCAUUCUGGACAACUACAAGUAUGUUCAGAGAUCAGCGGCCAUCCUCCGGAAGCGGAAAGUGCCCAAGUUGUUGCUAAAACUUGAUAUUUCGAAGGCCUCUGACACGGUGGCGUGGCAGUUCGAGCUGGAGGUCCUGCAGGCAUGGGGUUUUGGAUCGAGAUGGCGCGAUUGGAUUUCUCUAUUGCUGUCCACGGGCCACGGCAACUACACGUGUGCUGCUCAACGGCCAGGCAGGGCUGCCGAUUGAGCACCGUCGCGGUCUCAGGAAGGAGAUCCACUCUCCCCAAUGUUGUUUGUGCUGGCAAUGGAUGCUCUCAACCGGCUCUUUAACAAGGCGGAUACUGAUGGAGUGCUACAGCCGCUUGGGGUGCCAUGCAUCAAGCACCGCUGCAGCAUGUACGCGGACGAUGUGAUCCUAUUGGCAGCACCAACUGCGGGGGAAGCAAGGGCUAUAACUUCUCAAUCUCUUUGGAGAUGCAUCAGGAUUGCAAACGAACUUAGAAAAGUGUUCAAUCACACCAAUCUACGGCUGUGAAGAAGUGCUGGAGAGCUUACAGCCAGUGAUGCCAUGUGCAAUCAAGGAGUUCCCCAUCACGUACUUGGGAGCGCCACUGUCUGUCAGAGCAUUGCCAAAAUCUCAGUUUAUGCCGAUUGUUGAGGAGGUUGCAGCAAAAUUACCAGCUUGGCAGGGACCCUUAAUGAAUAAGAGUGGACGCCUCACCCUUGUGAAGUCCACCCUCUCUACAAUGCCCAUUUACUUGAGCAUGUCUGACAAGAUGCCAAGAUGGGCUCUCAAGGAGUUGGACAGUAUCAGGCGAAACUUUCUGUGGAAUGGCACUGACAGGGCAGUAAGAGGGAAGAACGCAGUGGCCUGGCCAACUGUCUGCCGGCCUACAUGCUACGGAGGGCUCGGGGUGAUCGACUUCAAGCUAGCUGGCUUUGCCCUACGGACGCGUUGGCUCUGGCUACAGAAAACGGACGACGAGCGUUCGUGGGCUGCAGUACAAAUCAAGGUGCAGCCGGAGGUUCGCGCAUUCUUCAGCGCCUCUGUAACGGUGACUGUACGCAAUGGAGAGAGAAUUAUUCUGGUUAGACAACUGGAUUGAUGGGCAACCCGUCUCCCACCUGGCGCCUAACCUCCUUCAGACGGUGCCUGCACGAGUGAGGAACGGCAGAACGGUGGCGCGAUCGUUGCCGGAGCGGAGAUGGACGCAAGACAUUCGAGGACGUCUGUCAGUACAGGUACUGGUGGAAUACAUAAACCUUUGGGAGCGCAUCUCCGACUGACAGCUCAUGGAAGGUGCGGGACGUUUGCCGCUGGCGAUGGACCGUCGAUGGCAGCUACACGGCAGCUUCUGCAUAUCUCAAAAUGCACGAGGGAAGCAUCAAACUACGAGGUGCGUCGAGAAUUUGGAAGAAUUGGGCGCCGCCGAGGGUCAAGUUCUUUUCCUGGCUAGCAACGAAGAAGCGCAUAUGGACAGCUGACCGCCGCCGCCGGCAUGGGCUGGAUGCUCAUGACAAAUGUUGGCUCUGCGAUCAGGAACUGCAGACCACAUCUUGGUCAGCUGUGCCUACGCCAAGCAAAUUUGGUGGAAAGUCACGACGACGAUGCAUUGCAGCUGCAGUUUUUCCGCAGGGCACAUUCCAUGCAGAGCUGGUGGGCAAAUCUAAGGAAACAGCAGCCGAGAGCGAAGAGGAAGGGCUUUGACACCCUAUUCAUGCUUAUAAUUUGGAGUAUUUGGAAAGAGCGCAAUGCAAGGCUCUUCAACCAAAUAUCAUCCGCUGGCCAUGAGCUCACUGAGCGCAUUCUGCAGGAGGCUGAGAUAUGGAUCCUUGCGGGUGCUUGGCGAUUAGGUAGUAUCCGGCAUGAGUAGUACCAGUUAGAGGAGGCCUCUGGCCAUUAGGUUGUAGUCUGCAUACGGCGUAUGCAAGGUUUUGGCGUGUGCUCCGUCUCCGCCGAUUUCUGUAAAAAGUUUUUAAAUUCUCUUCUUAAUACAAUGAUACAAAUGAUGCGCAGCUCUCCUGCGUAUUGGAGAGAGAAAAGAGCGCCUGACCCGGCCACCCCUGGGUUUCUUGCAACUGUCAGAUCGGACAUGUGCGGCCACGGUCGCCUUGACCUCGCAAAUAUUCAUGUGGUGCCUUCGCUCGACCACCGUUGUCCUCGACGACGGGCUGCAUGCGCUCCGAGCCUCUGAUGAACCGCGCGCUGCCUGACGAGCCAGAGUCCAGUGGCCGCGAGAAUCACUUCUGAUGGUUGCGAGAGCAUCGUAGGCAGGUGUGGUGCUUAUCUCGCGAGAUAACAGAAGCGGCACGGUGCGGCGGUGCCAUUGCCGGCCGGCGCGGUCCUAGGCGUUCUGACUUCUGCGGCGUGUCUGCCUGCGGCGAAGGCGAGGGCCAUCGCGAUUACGAGUAGGAUGCUGCUACUGCUAGAGAGUGUUGGGCGCGCGGCACCGUGGCUGACUUCGGCCGCAACGUUGGCUCGGACGCCACGGCUGCUGUGCUGCCUCAGCUAGCCAGCGUGCGCUCGCCGUCGCCGGCGCCAUCGACGGCACCAAAGGCAAUCGAUGCUGACGCCCGCCAGCAGCACACCGGCAAUUGCAAGUCUGUCAACCGUCGCAGGGGAAUAUUUGCGCCGCCGGCCGCUGCCUCCUUGGGCGCUGCGCCGCGCAUCGGAGCGGCGGAGCCCAGCGCGUCGUCGAGGACUGCAGUCAAGCGAGGAAGGCGGAAAAGUCUAGCUCCAUUGACUUGAUCGCUGCCGCCCACGUGAGAUCCAACGGUCUAAAUAGGCCCAGAGUGGACGGUAAAUGAAAUACCGUCCACCCCCGUGUCUCUCUUCCACCGCGCGUCGAGCUCCGAUGACGAUCCGCGCGCCGCCCAACUUGGCAGAGUCCGGUAGCCGCAAGAAUCUUCGCCGACGAUGGUUGUGAGGACACGAGGGAGAUGCUUAUCUCACCGUACCAGAGAAGUGGAACGAUACGGUGGUGCCGUGGCUGGCGCAGCCCAGGCGUUGUGACUUCUGCGGCGUGGCUGGCUUCGACCGCCCGCGAUCAGGGAGAGACUCAAUGACGCGGUGGCAUCCAUGGGUAGAGCACCGCCGACGAGCGCUCGCGAGAACCCCGUGGACGGCGCCAAUGUCGAUUCGGAUGCCUCGGCAAGGUCACUGGCGCCGAUGCAUGGACGGCUACAGCCUACAGCCAUCAUCACAAUGCAAGGACGGCAAGGAGGCUGCCAGUUCUGGGGUUUGGGGGCAAACGUUUUUUGCCCCCAAACGAAUCGAAUGUUCACUUUGGAGUUGGGUCGGCGCAGCAAUAUACAUGCACGUAGUACACGGAGAAGCUUUAUUCAGGUCACGAGCUUAUUUUCGUAGUACGUACAGAGGCUGCGUGCAAGCACGCCAGCAAAGUACGUGGAUAAGGUAGACCUCGCACACACAAACUUACAAUUUCAUACAUACGGAGGACAUGCACAUACACGUACGCGAUACCUGCCUCCGGCCCAAUCCAGAUACGUGCGUCGUCGUCGAUCGAGCCCGCGUGAAGCCGAUCUCAGUCGGACCUGACGACGUAGCUCUCCUUGCGCUCGUGGAACUCGCCGGUGCAGGUGUUGAAGUCCUCCUCCACCGUGGUCUCGCGCAUCACGAAGUUGCCGGAGCCGUGGCCGUGGCCGUGGUGGCCGUGGUGGCCGUGGUGGCCGUGGUGGCGGCCGUGGCUGCCGGUGCGGGAGACCCUGUCGACCUCCUCGAACUUCUCCCUGACGACGUGCUGCUGGACGCCGCCGUGGCGGCCGAAGCCGGCCGGGCUCGCCACCGACCUCACCUCCUCCGAGCAGUAGUCAACCUCCUGGUAGUGAGCCAUUGGUGAUGAUGCUUGGGUUACUUGUUCAGUGCCUGUAUGCCUUGAAGUGCUUGUGAAUUGUGUGAGACUUUUGUGCUAGGGCCGGGUGCGCUUUUAUAGCGAGGAACGGGGGAAGCAGUGUGCAAGCGCAUGAGUGGAGUGAGGAAUAAUGUGUUCAUGGUGAGGGAGAAAGAUAGAUACAUGUGUGCUUCUUUUUUCCAGCAUUGAUCUAUAAGUAUUUGGGGGUGUAUUGGCCGAGUAGAGAUAAAGAGGAAGAAGUGGUGAAGAGCAUGAGAGUGAGGAAUAAUGUGUUCAUGAUUUGUUUCAAAAAAAAAAUAAUGUGUUCAUGAUGGAGAAAGAUUCAUGUGUGCUUUUUCUUCACCUCUUUAGCAUUGAUCUAGAAGUAUUUGGACUGCAUUGGCCGAGUAGAAUCUUUUGGGAGGCUAGAGCCCUUUUUCAAUUGCAAUUUUGUCACGUUGGUACGCUGUUUAAUUGUUUCAGUACUAGAAUAUUUUGAGAAAAUAACUAAUUCAGACACUAGGUGUGCCUGUUUGUAAAGCAGUGAAUUCUCAAUCUAUCCCAGUGGUAAAAACGAGUAUCAGGCCUCUUGGUAUAUGUCCACAUUUGGACUUCGGUAGAAGUGACGGGUCGGGUUAGAAUAUACUUAUCGUUUAGCUAGUGGGAAUAUAUACUUGCGUCUCGGCCUGCACCGCGUUUCACGGUAGGUUCGUGAUGUGAUGGCGUCCUAAGAUUCUAAGGAGUGAUGCGAUGCAGAAUUGCAGACCGGGCUGCGUCAAUUCCCUUUCCAGUUUCCAGCAGCAGCCAUUCCUCAGUCCUCACAACCCGAACGCUGGUUUUACACAAAAUGCUUCACGUACGUGUCCACCCGCGGCGGGAGCGCCACCAGUCGUACGUGUUUGCGGAAAGUGUCGCACCCGGGCUCCGGCGAGGCCUGUCCUGGACGCGCCGCGCCGCCUGGGCGCCCAGAUUGGGCGACGGGAGCGUCUUGCUCGCCAGGCGCGCGCGGCAGCCGGUGGGUCAUCAGGAGAAGCAGGACGUCGUCCACUUCGGCGGCAGACCAUGGCGGGAGCGUGAACGGACGCGUUCGUGGAAGUGCCCCCGCCACCGUCGCCACCGCACGGUUGGACGCCGGCGCCGACCGCGCUAGGGGCAGCUCCGUGCUCCGUGGCGCUGCUCGCGCAUAUGUACAAACGGGUUCGACGACGGCCGCGCGCGCGGGCAACGAGCGCGUGCUCACGGGCCAUGGCGACGAACCUUGUAGGAGCCAUAUGUUGCCAACGAAGCUCCGCAGACGGCGGCGCUGCCAUCAUGUUGCCGGGCGGCACCGGCGCCACGCCUCACUGGAUGGAGCUUGGCGCAGCGCAGAGGCAGACGGCGGCCCAGUGCGCGAGGGCCGUGGAGGGUCCAGACUUGUCGCCGCCCGCAAUUAAUCAGGUCGAUCUUGGGCGCACGAGGCUGAUCCGACGACCAGGAGAGUCUAAGGCGUGGACGGUAUUUCAUUUACUACCGUCCACCCUGUAACACCCCAGGUGUUUAGCACCUUUAAUUAGUGUUAAUCAUCUGCAAAAUCUUGCAUUAACAUUUUUGCAUAUGCAAUUUUUCGGAAAUGACUAAUUAUUUUAGUAGCACAUGAUCACAUUUAAAUAUCAUUUAAAUCUCAUUUCAUUAAGGUUUAUGCUAUUCUGUCAUUAAAUAUUAAUAAAACGUUAAAGUAUGAAAACUUUUUGCUCAAAUCUAUAUACCUAUUAUUAAAGCGAGUAACGUCUCUGCCAAUUUUUUCGUCCGUCGUGGUCAUUUUACAAAAAAGUCCCUAAACUUUCAAGGAAUCAACCCGCGGUCCAUAAUCUAAAGAGAGGAAUGGCUCGGGUGGAAAAACGAGGGAAGGGAGGGGGUUAAGGGGAAAAAUGCUUCUCUUUCUCCAAAACAAAGAGGCGCAGGAGGGGAUCGGGCGCGGGCGGCGGCUGGAGCGGGCACCCCGCCGCUGCUCCGGCGCGCAGCCUCGGCGGCAUUGCCAGCGCGUGCGUGGCAUCCAGGAAGAGAAAUUUUCGUACGUCGUCCGUCCUCCGCUCGUUUCACCCGUCCGCUUCGCACCCGUAUCCUCCACGCUUCCCGCGGCGCCCUCCGAUGGAACGCACGCCGGGAGCCACCGCGCGCCGUCCGCUGCGCCUCCUCCGCUCCCGCGCUUCACGCUCCGCGCUCAGAUCUUCCGCUCGCUCGCCUACUCCUCCUCGCUCGCUCGCCCUGCAUCGCCGCCGCCGCCCGCAGCUCGCUUGCCCUGCUUUGCCGCCGCCGUUUCUCCUCGUCUCGGUCUCCCUGCGCCGCCUCCGCCGCCGCCGUGCGCCGCCCCUCCGAGCCGUCGACCGCGCCGCCGCCGCCGCCGCGGACGACGGAUCCACAGCCGGAUGCAUCGCCAUCUUCCAAUCCUAGACGCCGCACACCUAUCACCACAAAGGUGCCGGUCGGGCAGGGAUGCGGCGGCCGGACGGAGCGAGUCGCCGAGCUAGGGUUCGAGGGCACGCGCGUCCUCGGCGAGCCCGUCCAUCUCCGACAUGGCUGGUGCGGCAGCUGUAAUCGCCCGCGGAGGACGAGGCGGAUACAGCAUAUGGAGCCCGAUUUCUGGCCCCUGCCCUGCGGCUGCCCUCUCCUCCCCUUGUUGGCCAAUCGUGCGAUCCCUGAUGGAGGAGAAGGCUCUGGCUUCCAUAACCUCCAUGGAAAGAGAUCGACGGCGGCUCUGGUGGACGCGGCCCCAUCACCGAGUGGAUGAGGCAGCGGCGUCGCCACCCCUCUCGAUGGUCUGCCCUCCUCCUCCCUAGCAGGUUUGUUUGUCUGUGUUGCUCCUUACAGCCAGCAACAUGCCAACGAAGUGUUUGUUAAAAUGCUAGAAUGCUUCAGCCUUCAGAGAUCAUGUCUUGCCGAUUAAGAUGGAGAUGGAUCAACAACCUCCUGUGGCGGCGCAACAUGUGCAAGUAUGUCAUUGGGGUCGCACAUCGGAUGCCUGCUGCUGCGUUGCCUGAUGUUUUGCUGUAGAAUUUCCACUAAGGGUAUCAGGAUGAGCCUACCAUGGAGAAAGCUCACGGGUGAGGGCCCUUCCUUCUACUUCAGCUCUGAUGCACACCAGUUGCUUGUUGUAUUGCCUGAACAAAAGAUUGACUACCUACUACUUCAGGUCCAUGGAUCAUCAUCAAACUUGGAAGAGGUGAAUGGUCUGCCUGGUGGUAAGGCCAAGAAAAAGGUUGUUUAUAUAUCUUACCAUUAGGAUCAUCAGGGUUGAGCAUUACUGAGAUUGGUAGCGGAAGAAAUCAUGUUCAGGAGAAAGCAUGCCUCUCAUUUCAACCUAAAAGGUUGUUCUCUGAAUCCUGAUCAAGUAACCACAUACACGCUAACUGCCUUUUAGCCUGAUGUUUCUGUUGAAGCGGAAACCGGCAAAAUGUACAGGGCAAAUUUUCGAGAUAAAGAGGGGAGAGCCGUUGUUAUUAUGAUUUAUGAGACCUACAAAGGAGGCAAGGCUUCCUCUUCUGAAUUGCCAUUCCUUCUUCCUAAAAGUCAGUAGUCUCUCUAGAAUGCUUACCCCAAUAUUCACCUGUAUGCUUUUCUUAAAUUUCAGAAUACAACAUCCCAUGACAGGCAAAUCCGAUUCACCUGUAUGCUCUGUGAAGAUAUUAUUUAUUUUAUUUUAUGAAAAGGUCAGUAUUGGUGGAGCAAGCCUUCUGAAAUCUCUUUGAUUUUGAGAGUAUACAUUUCUGCUAAAUUCAUCUCAUCUAUUGUCCAUCUGACAGUUAAGAACUCUUUUGCAACAAGUUGUUCUUUACCUGGAGCUGUAUGUAAGUACACUCUGAAUUCUGAAGCUUACUGUGCCAUAUCCAGGUGUGUGAUGCUGCCACAAAAUGAUAAUCUGCAUUAGUAAUGCAUAAUACGUAUUGGGGCACCUAGACCAGUGGUAGACCAUUCUUUCAUUCAUGUUUUAAUACGAUGAAGAUUGACGCUAUCUUCAUAUUAUGGGUUGUUAGCAUGUAUGCUACCAAAUUCCUUCUUGCCUCUUGGACUGUUAAGAGAAACCAUGGGCUCUUGGAUUGGAGGCCAGAUCCUGCUGCAGCAAGCAGCUCAGGUAAAAAGAGGCAUGAGUGCUUUUUCUUCGGUUCGGAACUUUAGUUUCAUGCCAUUUGAAAUGUUAGAUUUUCAUUAGAGUAUGCAGAGCCAAUCAUUUUUUUGAAGAAUUCAAAUCAGCCACUCAGAAUUUCUGCUGUAAUGGAGGAGUUUUGGCCACAACGAAAGAUUACAUGCAUGUCUAUUUCCUUGCUGUUGCUGUAUGGUCUUAUGGGGAAGUUUGACUAUUAGGCAAUAAUGGUCAACUAAUAGUACAAUAGUAUUUGGAAGAGCGACUGUACAUGAAUCGAUAGUAUGCAUCAUAGAAGAGCAACUGCAUACAUGAAUCUUAGGCUGUUACCAAGAUCGCUGAAAUUUUGUAUUUGGAAAAUUGCAGUAUUCCAAAGAAAUAUUAAUACAAUAUUUAAGUACGUGAAUUAACUAUUUUCUUUUGAUAUAUUGCUUUGCUGAAUGCGAGGUGUAUUGUACUAUGAAUUUUUCACUGCCCGUAGCAACGCACGGGCACGAUCCUAUAAGAAGAAAAUUAUUUUAGAGAGGUAAAGACCCGUAGCAACGCACGGGCAUUUCUGCUAGUAUAGUUUAAAUUGUGAUAUGAUUCAUUUUUGUCUCAUGAAUAAAAAAACCCAUUUCAAAAACGUGGUCAAAGUUCGGUCGAACUGCUGUUUGCAAGCUGAUCCUGUUUUGCCAAAGUCCCUAAAAAUGAUGCUUUUCCCUGUUUUUGAAGCCUCGAAACUCUCUAACCAAUAACCAAAUCACCUAUGAGCCUAUACAAAAGUUGUAGUUCAAUCUUUAUUCUACAUCUUUCAUAUUGGUCUUUUGGAGAGUGUCGAUGCAAAAGUUUGAGUAUUGGUCGUGCAAAGGUCGUUGCCUUGCACUGUCCUUGGUCGCGAGCACCGCAGCUGCCUCUGCCUGUGCACGACGCGUGUCGGCCAUCGGGCUGCCGGCGAGCUGUGCCAUCGCCAUGCGCCGGCUCCCGCGGCGAUCAACGCACGGACCGCAUGCCGACGCGACGUCCUGCCACCAUGCCCAUGCCGCGCCCAUCCCUUGACGUACCGCGCCCAUGCCGUCGACGUCCGCGCCAGCGUUGCCUCGUCCCGAGCUCCCCACUGCCGCGUCGUCCUCGGCCGUCCUCGCACCACUGCUCGCGCCGUCCUCGCGCCACUGCUCGCUAGCACGGCCGCCAUCACCUCUCCCUUGCCCUCUUCCCUGGAAUGACCGGCCCUAUCCGUCUCCCUCCCAUUUUCUUCCUUCUUCUUCCCCGGCCGAAACAGAGCAGACGGCGUAGCUCCCACUCGCCCGCCAAAUUCGCCAGUUACACCCCACCUCCGGCCGAUUCCUCUCAACCCCGGUACCACAACCUCCCCAUCUCCAUCCAAGACCAAGACAUAGGCGCAGCAGAGCUCCACCCCGACGGGAAUCGCGGAUCUCGCGGCCUCCAUUGCCGCCGGCCGCCCGAGCUCGACCCCGCCGUCGAUCUCCUACCUCCGGCCAACGUAUGCGCCAACCAACAACUAAAAUCGUUCUAUGGUGAGAUCCUGGUUCCCGUAAUCUCCCUAACUAUCCGCGCUCACCAACUUUCCGCGGGGGUUUUCGACCCCGGCGCCGUGACCAUGCCGCCGCUCGUCGUCGGCCACCUCUGGCCGUUUUUCCCUUCGGGCUUCCUUGAGUGAUUAGGGCUUCGUGUCUUGAUUUUGGGAGUGGGAUGUGUCCUCCUCCAGGGGGAGGGUCGCCGCCGGCCACAGGUCGCCGGUCAAGGCCGGCCGGCUCGGCCUUGACUGGGGCGUCGGGAGGCGGAAGAGAGAUGUCGUGGGGAAGAAAGAGAAGGGGGUGGCUGGGCCAAAGCUGAGCCGUGCGUGGAUGGGUUUGUGGGCUGGAGUACCAGGCUGGCCCAAAACACUAGUGUAAUUUGUAUAAGCGUUGAAGAUUGUAAAAUGCAUAUAAAAUCACAGAAAAAGGAUAAAAAUGUGAAACCAAAUUUGUUCGUUUUUUAGUUAAAUAUUCCACAUGCGAAAAAUAUGAUAUAUGGAAAAUGACUGAUUUAUCCUCGCCAAAUAUCAGAAUGUCUUUAAUCGAUUUUAAUUAAUAUACAUAUUUCUAUGAAGCGUAAAAUCAUGAAAAAUUCAUGUAAAAUACCUUUUGAGUGGCUUUUUCAGGUUCAUCACCAGAAUAUGCUCAUGAAUUAGUGAAGUGAAUUUCUUCUUGUUCCUAGCUAUAUCAACAUUAAUGAAAAUAAAGCAUGUUUAUGUUAUUUCUUUUAUUUAAAAUCUUGCAAUUUGGACCUGGGAUAAAUGUCAAACUUGAUAGCCCAGUUUGUGGCGUAGAUGAAAUUCUAAAAUAAGUUCAGUAGCCAGUCACAUGCUUUCUUUGUAUAAAUGAGUAGGAAAUGUUGGGUAAAAUGGAUAACUUGUUUAAUGAAAGUAACAAAGGAAGCACUCCAGAUAAAAUCUGAUCAUCAUCAUUAAGUCCCAACCCUGCUUAUUUAUGAGAAAAAUUAAUCGUAAAUGAUUGCCCUUGCCCUGUGUUAUUUUGAAAAAAUUGCAUUCGUAUUGUUGAUGCAUUGCAUAUUUGCAUAAAUGUAGAUUCCGCUACAUAGGACAUGGUGUACAAGCUCAUGGAUGUGAAGCAGUUGUAGCCGUAAAGCCCAGUAGGAGCACCCUGAAGACCCGGCCCAAGGUCCGGAAGGGCCCAAGGCCUUGAUAGUACUAACAUCGAGUUUUUAAAGGCAAGUCCUGAAGCAUAACCUUUAAUUCAAAACUAAACAAUAUUUUAUUUUAGGUAUUGUGCAUUUACAUUUUCAAAAGUUGAAUGAAACCAUAGAUGCAUGAGCCAUAGGUUCCCAUGGUUAUAAUAGUAUGUGUAGGUCACUAGCUCUAUUAUGCUAAUUAAGUUCGGUAGAAGUGAAGUGAUUACCUGUCACUCGCGAGAUAUAAGGUCUCUGGAUACUUAUACUGGGUCUAUGGAUAAAUGGUUCGUAUGGUAAAGUGAGAGACCGGGCGGAGAGGCUAUUGGUUAAGAAUAUGACAUAUGGAUUGAAAGAUGUACCUCCGCCUAUGUCAAUUAAGGACCGUUCGUUGUUGGCAUUGCUGACCGAGUUUGAAUAGUACUAAUCACAUGCUGAGAGUAGGAGAUAGUCGAAAUCAGUAAACCUAGUACUUGAUUCGCUCCGGAGUUUGAACUCCUACCCACCCUAUAGGGCAAGUCGAGUGGCCGUGGAGAAUUAGGUAUGCAUUUUUUUUUUGUGGUCUCUCAUAGGGCUCGACUGACUAGUGCUGGCGGGGCAGUUCAGACUUUCAAUAGUGGAGAUGGGAACGGUUGCCACGUGUGGCUUGAUGGGGCAUGCAUGUGUCGUGUUGUUAGAUUUUCCUUGCAAGGAUUAAAUCGAAUCGAUUCGUUGUCUCUCUUGGAUAAGAGAACCUUGAUCACUGAGCCACAUCGUAGUAAAGAAGUGGAAUACGGUGAUGAUAAUUGUUGUUGCUUACUCAAUUGUCCUUUCACCACUGAGGUGUUGUAUUCUUGCAAACCUAGAAAAAGAGUUCUAUUAUUUAAACUUGGCUAAAAUACUAAAAGUAAGGAUCCAUUCUUAGUUGCUUUUUGGCAAAACAAACCCUAGAGCCAAAAGCCUUGCACGAUAGGAGUCGGCUAUGUAUAUACCAUACUUGGGUAAGUCUUGCAGAGUAUUAGUAUACUCAAGGUUGUUGUUGUGACCCCUUUUUCAGGAGGCGCCCCUUCUCUGUGAUGUCAUAUCGCUGGGCUCGAUGUGAUGUCAUCCUCUCGUCGUCGUUACUACUUUAGAGUUAGUGAUCGAGUUUUGUUUUCAAACUUUACUUCCGUUGUAUCUUUGAAAUCUAUGUAUUAUUCAUGUAUUUGAACUCUUUUUGUAAACUUUUGUCUCAUUCUUGUAUUGUAUCUUUUAAUUUUAAUGUGAAAGUGUCAUAUUGGUACUAUCUGCGCUCACCUUCAUGUGAGACUACUGGUGUUUAUUCGAUCCUCAUAUUGGUGAAUGCAGAUUGUCAAAUAAACCGUUAAGUUAAUGAGCCGGAUAUGUUCAAAUGAUGAUCAUUAUACUUAGGUCCUGUUUGUAUACGCUUUUCUGGAACUCGCUUAUCUGGCAAGCAAGCUUAUAUAAGCCUGCUGUCUGGAGAAUCUGCUGUCUGAAUAAGCAGGGUGUUUGGCAAUCCUGAUUAUUUUGUAUCGAUUGUCUGUUCUGGUUGGUAAAUUGACCUGAAUGCCCCUAAGGCUGAUAAUAGCUCAUUUUUAUUGUGAAUCUGAGGAGAAGACAUUUCUAAUACCUUUGGAGUUUGUUAAAUAGAAAUUACAUUACAAUAAUACAAAAUUCAUAUAAUAGCAAAUACUUUACAAUAUAUCCUAUAGUUUUUGAAUACAGGGCUCAAUUGACUGCUAGACUAUAAUGCAGAUGAAUGUUGACCUAGAAGUGCAUUGCUUGUGCAUUAUUGCUCCUUUCUUUUGGUUUCACAAGAAAUAGAAAUUUAGAGUACUUUCUAAUGUGUUUUGGGUUAUACUGAUUAUUGACCACCAACAUGCCCAAGCCGCCAGGGGCCAAGCCAGGCGGUGGGGGCUAAGCCCGGCGGCGGGGGCCAAGCCGGCAGGGGCCAAGCCCGGUGGCGGCCAAGCUCGGCGACGGUCAUGGGAGGCGCGGGGGCAGCGGCGGCGGACAGGAACCCAGCGGCGGCGAUAGGAGCCGGCGAUGGGAUCAGGUGGCGGACGGGAGCCGGCGGCGGUCGCGGGAGGCGCGGGAGCGGCGGCGGCGGAUGGAAACCGAGCGGCGGCGGCGGGAUCUGCAGGCUGCGGGAGCCGGUGAUGGGACCGGGCGGCGGACGGGAGCCGGCGGCGGCGAUAGGAGCCGGCGAUGGGAUCAGGUGGCGGACGGGAUCGGGCGGCGGACGGGAGCCGGCGGCGGUCGCGGGAGGCGCGGGAGCGGCGGCGGCGGAUGGAAACCGAGCGGCGGCGGCGGGAUCUGCAGGCUGCGGGAGCCGGUGAUGGGACCGGGCGGCGGACCGGACCGGGUGGCGGACGGGAGCCGGCGGCGGUCACGGGAGGCGCGAGAGCGGCGGCGGCGGGAUCUGUAGGCGGCGGGAGCCGGCGACGGGAGCUGGCGGCGGACGGAGCCGGCAGUGGUCACGGGAGGCGCGGGGGCGGACGGGUGGUGGCGUCGGUGGGUGAGGGUAGCGGGGGAAAAAUCGGUCGCUUGCCCCAGAAGCGCCUCCCGGCCUGCGUACAGAAUAAGCCGGUCUUCAGUUGUUUCCCAGCUUGUGAAGUAAGCGGCUUACGUAGCAAGCGGGAAAUAAUCAAAGCGUUUGGGUGGACUUAUGGCUUAUUUCCACCGAUAAGCGGGAAAUAAGCGGAUACAAACAGGACCUUAAUUAGAGUUUUAAUUUGACGGUUCUGUCGCGCAACCCGGACGGUAGAUGGAAUACCGUCCACCCCCAAGUGUCGGACGUCGCCGGCGGGGAUCGUCGAAGAGAACCACCGGGGCAUGCUGACCUCCACCGCACGCAGCUGCUACAAGCAUGUACGCGUCCACGGCAAUCCCGACGAUCGCGAAUUCCUGGAGCCCUUGGCCAACACGCCCUCGGCGAUGGCAUGCUAUCAACGGGCGCCGGCUGCUCGAACGGAGUUCCCGCUGUCGGACUGGCGCGCGGCAGAAGCCGCUCGUGUUCCAGGCGUGCACGGCGGCUAUGAGGCUUGGACGGCGACGAGGCCUGGAUCAACAGCACCCGCCUCAACGGACGACGGCUUCUCGACCACCCAGCCCAGCUCGUCCCGGAGGGCUCUCGCUUCGGCGGACUCGACGAACGCCUCGCCGCGCGGUACGCACCGCCUCCGUCACCGCGCUGUCCGUGCUCCCGCAGCUCGCCGCCGCGCGCGGGUUACCCAGACGACCUCAACUUCGAGGCGGCCGUCCCCACCAGGGAACGCAGGCUGGCAUUCUGCGUGCCGUGCGCCGCGGCCGUCUCCACGCCCUCCCCCGGGUACGGCAUGCCCAUCUUCGAUGGCCAUGAACGAGGUGAGUGGUCAGGAGGAUGGUGCACCGCGUGUUCCAGCUCGACGCCGUCACAGCCGCGCGCAAGGGGCAGCCGUUGCUCGGUGGCGCUUCUCGCGUGGGCACUAUGCGCGUGCUCAUGGCGACGAACCGCACGGACGCACAGGAACCUGCACUGCCACGAUGCUCUGCAACAGGCGGGGCUAGCUACCUUCCUGGGCGGCGCCAGGACUCACCGGAUGAAGCCCCGCGCCGCGCAGGGCGUCGUCCAAGCAGGUCAACGGCGGCCCAGCACGCGAAAGACCGUCGAAACUUGUCGCCGCCUGCAACUAUUUACGUCGAUCUCGACCGCACGAGUCUGAUCGUACGGCCACGAGAGGCAAGGAGCGGACGGUAAAUGAAAUACCGUCCACUCCGAGUCCGGCGUUCCUCGACGCCGCGCAGCUCACGGCGUUGCCCGGGAGCGCCGCCGGAUCCCGUUCUGCAUCCCGGCGACCGGACCUACACGUUCCAGUACUCACCCGGGCGGUGCGGCGUGCACCGGCGUCGCCGGAGUGUCCCUGCCCGCUCAACGGGGCCAUGCCGCCCGGCGUGGCGCGCGCCACCGGCGCAUCCGUAGUGUGCGUGGCGGGGGACGCUCGAGCUGUGCGACGACGGCAACGGCGCUUGAUAGCACGAGUGGGAGGCGCUCUUCGACAAGGCUGCCGGAGGCCGGAGUGAUGCUCACGGCCGUCCGGCGCAGGCUUCUUGUUCAGUUUAGUACAUCAAAAGUCUUCUGAACAGAAUAUGUUCAGGUUUAAUUUAUAUCAUUCAGAUCAGCUGCUAUUGUAUUUAUAGACGAAAACAUGACCAUCGAGUAGUUAGGUUUUGAGUUGCUACCGGCCAGGAAAUCAGCAGCUGUUAUUCUUCUCAGUGCCCAGUGUGGAUCAUUUGCACUACACCAAACGAAUGAGUGCGUUCGCGCCGUCGCCCGGGUGCGGCAUGCCCAUGGCGUCGCUGGUGAGCCCCUGUCCUGAAGUUCACAACACUGUUUUGCUCAGCAACAGAACUCCUUGAAGGACCGGGACAGGCGACUAGAGGAGGUGAAUAAGAGCCUUCAAUAAUUCUUUCAAAGAAUAAGACUUAUAUCUCAAUUGCUACCCCAAACGUAACUCGCUUCUAAUCAUCAAGAUGACACUAGUUAACUCGUGACAAGCUUACCCUAGGAACGGUUAGAAACACUCAGAAGAGUAGCGGAAGCAAACGCAAAACGAAGAUUCCGAAAAGAGAUUAAGCACAACCACUGCUAAGCAUGCUCGAAUUGAUUUCUUGACAGAUUAAUAAAGCACUUAAGUAAACCGAUCUAACUGCAAAAUGGUUAAAGGUUAAACAAGUGCUCAUGUACUCAGUUCACUCGACAUGCAAAGAAAAGCUAAUUAGCAUGUAAAGAUUAAACAAGCAAUGAUUCCCUAAUCAUUGGAUACUGUAGCAUGAAAGUGAUGGUCCAUUGAAAGUGAAUUCUGGUGCUCUGAAUUGAACCGUGCAAACAAACUUUGUUGGGCGUCCUAAUGGAGCUGCUGCUUGACUUGCCCUCCGCCGCCUGGGCUGCUGUGCAGCGUGCUGGGCUGCCAGCAGCAGGUGCACGCCUGGGCCGCGUCGGCCUGGUCGCGCGGGCAGCUGUGCCUGGCCGGCCUGGGCUGCAGGCCUCCCGCCUGAGUGGGCCGGACGCCGGCCUGUCUGGCGCUCGUCGCCCCGCGCGUGCCGCGCACGCGAGCACGCCGCCUGCCCCGCGCGCCGUGCGAAGCUGCUCCCUUUGCCUGCGCAAGAACAGCGGAGGGAAAAGAGGAAAAACGAAGAACGCCAAGAACGCGAAGGAGUUCAACCGAAAAAUCCUCCCUCGAUACUCAACGAUUCGAGACGAAACGAGCCAUAGAUGCACUACUCAAGAGCUAAUGGAUCCAUGAAAAAAAUCUUGAAAAGCUCAAGUAUUUAUCAUGAAUUUUGGAGAAAACCGAGCACCUAACAAGAACACGAUUUUGGGAAAGUUUCGAAUUCAAGCUAAAUUCGUGAGAAAUUUGAGAGGGGAGCACAUCAAAGUUACUCACAAGGGUCCUAGCAACAAAAUUCUUCAACAAAUCUCACAGGAGUUGGGCUCAAACACGAAGAACAAAAAUUCCCAUGAAAAUGCUCCGAAAAAACUAGAAAAAGAGCAAAAACAGAUCUUGAGAGGAUGGAACAAGUGAGUACGAAUUUGAUCUUUGGAUUACUCCACCACGUUCGGUUACAAGCCACUCUUAAGCAUAAUCAAAGCUAAGAUGGUAAAAAGAUCAAAUCAAAAAUCUCUCAUCUCUUUUCCUCUCUCUCCCCUACCAAAGACUCUCAAACACAAAUGAGAAGUCCACCGCCUAACAACCCCUAAGAUGUGGCUGCCCCAACAGCCACUCCUCAUAUAUAUAGUCAUUUGGCAAAUGUUCAAAAUACCCUUACAUGAAGUAUACAACCUAAAUACCCCACAGUGGUAAAACUAUCCAACUCCUUGUCGGUACAUCGAAUGGACCCGGCACCUUUACGACUUCACUUCGCCUCGACACAAGCUUCAUGAUGGUACCACGCGUCUUUCGUCUCGACGCCGUCCGGCCACAUCGGACUCACCCCACGCUGCACACGACGUGACUCACCGAUGUCGACGCGUGUCCAGCCUCCGCCAAGCUUUCGAUGCCUCCAAGUCAUUCGCUCCCGGUCCUGAGCUGCCUACUCGACGCGUCUCCGUUUCGCUUGACUCGAUCGACGCCGUCUUCAUCCCAGUGUACUCUUACUCUUCCGUGAACCAUGUGGAUCACCCAUGACUCCACCCGAACUCCUCAGGUCCCUCGGUCCAAGCCUACUCGUGUCCACCAUUCACAGCCCUAAUACAUCGCAUGAAUCUUUCGCUUGACCUUCACCUCAUGCCACCGACCGCCAUGUCACAUCCAUCACCUACACAUCACAAGCCAAGAGAUACAACACACAAGAUAUGUUUUACACAAACACAACAACACAACACACACAACACAUACCUCCGAUUAGCCGUUAGCAUAAUCAAGCACAUAUGGAAUAUGGACUCAACCGGUAAAACCUCAAAUCAUCCGGUCAAUCACUCAUCACAAAUAGACCAAGGUACAUGUCAACUUGGUCUUUACUCCUCAUCGAGAUUAAUGACAACUCCAAUCAUCCGAUGCCUAAAAAACCGCUCGAGCCCCCGCGUCGUCCCUGCUCGGGCAACUCAGGCGGCGACCACGCACCCCCGCCACCCCCCAUCCUCUACUUUCCUCCCCUCGCUGCCGCUGGAGGGGCCUGUCGGAAGCCCGCGUCGGCCCCUAGGACAGCGGCGACAGGGUCUUCCUUGCCGGCUUUGGCCGCGGGCGUCUGUCCCGGGCGGGGGCGGAUCCGCCGGACCUGGUGACCGCGGCGGAUCGAGGUGGCGAGUCCGGCGCCCUUGAGGCUGGAUCCAUGCAGAGAUGGAGGCAACGUGUCUGCAGAGGCCAUGGAAGAGCAGCACGGCAGCUUCUGGCGACCAAGACUGAGCGUGGAGGCGAGGUGGCGGUGGCCAGUCCAGCGGCAUGCUGGCGUGGGAUGGAGGAUGCGACGACCUUGACGGCUCUCCCUUGGCGGAUCGGGGAGGCUGUAAAGGUGGCGGCCAUGGGCGGUUGCGGCAGAAGGAUGGCCGAUGGCACGGUGGCAGCUCAGUGGGGGAACGGCGAUGCAGCAAGAGCGGUGGGCAAUUGGGGAAAGGCCGCAAGAUGUGGCCACGCGUGUGCAAAGGCGCGUAGCGCAUGCGACAGGCCAAUGGCGGCGGUCGGUGCGGUGUGAGGCCAGUCACCCGGCGUGG
Molecule: long non-coding RNA, 24878 nt
Filed under: Setaria viridis
Lineage: Eukaryota; Viridiplantae; Streptophyta; Magnoliopsida; Poales; Poaceae
Description: long non-coding RNA (SVIR_LNC006194)
Source: RNAcentral